GCUUAAGUGCCAUACCUUGAGCUCUGCUGAUGAAAACUGAUCCCAAAAGCUAAGCAGGGCUACGCCUGAUUAGUACAGGGACUGGACGCCAGCUGGGAAUACUGGGUUCCAUAGGCU
This is a ribosomal RNA of Chelonoidis abingdonii (Abingdon island giant tortoise), 117 nucleotides long. Lineage: Eukaryota; Metazoa; Chordata; Testudines; Testudinidae. The record is from Ensembl.